Molecule: long non-coding RNA, 408 nt
Filed under: Gossypium barbadense (sea-island cotton)
Lineage: Eukaryota; Viridiplantae; Streptophyta; Magnoliopsida; Malvales; Malvaceae
Description: long non-coding RNA (GBAR_LNC001867)
Source: RNAcentral
AAAAUUGCCAAAGACGGGUUCUUCCCCUCUGAUCUCUACUCUUAGAUAACUGAUAACAUUGACAAUGUUUUCAGUCUCCAAGUUGAUGAUACAAAAUAGAGUACAACUUUUGGUUUAAUUUGCUGGAGACUACAGAAGAAACGAAAUUGUAUAGUGUUUGGGAUUGACAGUCACGACAUUGACAUGUUACUUGCUCAAAGCCUAAGGUGGGCACGAACUAUUAAACUGAACAAGAGACUGGCUUUUUCCAAUCCUAAAAGAAGCAUUCACAACAUUGGUCUGAGAAUUCCUGGAGCUGACUGGAUCAAGUUAAACAACAACAGGCAGUGAAGACUUGCUCCAAUUUUUUCUUGAAUUAGAUUGCUUUGCAUCAGAAAAUCACCCUACAGCUUAAUUACUAGCAAUCAG